GACGAACGCUGGCGGUGUGCUUAACACAUGCAAGUCGAACGGUAAGGCCCUUUCGGGGGUACACGAGUGGCGAACGGGUGAGUAACACGUGAGUAACCUGCCCUCAUCUCUGGGAUAACAGUCGGAAACGGUUGCUAAUACUGGAUAUGAGCUUGCAAGGCAUCUUGUGGGUUGGAAAGAUUUUUUUUGGUUGGGGAUGGACUCGCGGCCUAUCAGCUUGUUGGUGAGGUAGUGGCUCACCAAGGCUUCGACGGGUAGCCGGCCUGAGAGGGCGACCGGCCACAUUGGGACUGAGAUACGGCCCAAACUCCUACGGGAGGCAGCAGUGGGGAAUAUUGCACAAUGGACGGAAGUCUGAUGCAGCAACGCCGCGUGCGGGAUGACGGCCUUCGGGUUGAAAACCGCUUUCAAUUGUGACGAAGCUUUUUUGUGACGGUAGCAGUAGAAGAAGCACCGGCUAACUACGUG
RNAcentral lists this ribosomal RNA (468 nucleotides) under uncultured bacterium. RNAcentral describes it as "partial 16S ribosomal RNA". It matches the Rfam family "Bacterial small subunit ribosomal RNA", at positions 28 to 507 of the family's 1533-position model. The record is from RNAcentral.